Molecule: unclassified non-coding RNA, 239 nt
Filed under: Hevea brasiliensis (rubber tree)
Lineage: Eukaryota; Viridiplantae; Streptophyta; Magnoliopsida; Malpighiales; Euphorbiaceae
Source: RNAcentral
GGAUAAAGCUGUGAAGGCUUUUGAUAUUGCUCAGAAGAUGGGCAUUUCUUUGGAUGAAAAGGCUUAUACCAACUUGAUAUGUUAUUAUGGAAAGGCUGGGAAAUAUGAUGAAGCAUCUAAUCUAUUUGUCAGAAUGCAGGAAGCAGGGAUAAAACCUGGACAGGUGAGCUGCAACGUCAUGAUGAAUGUAUAUGCGGCUGCUGGACUUCAUCAAGAAGCUGAAGUCCUCAUGCAUAGCA